UGACUUUUUAAGCUAGUCCAGAGAGGCUAUCAAGAGGAAAACUUAAGGGUCUUGUUAGGCGAUAAUAAGACGCUCAUAAGUCAACCACCUGAUAGCGAGGACUAUUAGGUGGUUUUUUCUU
This is a non-coding RNA of Abiotrophia defectiva ATCC 49176, 121 nucleotides long. Lineage: Bacteria; Bacillati; Bacillota; Bacilli; Lactobacillales; Aerococcaceae. The record is from Rfam.